Long non-coding RNA from Gopherus flavomarginatus (Mexican gopher tortoise), 463 nucleotides. RefSeq lists it as uncharacterized. The transcript is spliced from 2 exons. NCBI's taxonomy places the organism in Eukaryota, Metazoa, Chordata, Testudines, Testudinidae. The record is from RefSeq and is a predicted model, not a curated record.
CAAGAACCCAUUAAGGGGCUAUUAAGAGUCUUUUGUGACAAUAGCACUCCCAUUGAGAGUCAUUACCAGCACUAUAUACAUGCAAAUAAAGUGGUUUUUCUGGUUUGCUUUACAUUGAAAACAAAGGGCAAAAGCACUGUUGCUAGGCAGACCCCAGGAGGCAACAGAGCCUGCAGUUCAGAAGAUAAACACCGGAGGGCACCCCAACACAAGAAAACAGGAACCAUGACUUCUAAGGCAAAAAUUGAGGCCGAAGAACAAAUCAAAGAAGCGGAACACAGGCGACAACUGGAAAAAAGACAAAAAGAGGUGGAGCUGAAAGAAAAGGAAGAAAGCAUCAAACUGGCAGCCUACCAAAGAGAACAGGCAGCCAAAGAGGCAGCACACAAAAGAAAACUAGAAGAAGAAGAGGUGGCCCACAGAAGGAAACAAGAAGAAGAAGAGGCGGCCCACCGCCGAGACA